GACCUUUAACUUCGGUUUUUUGGUAAAAACCGAAGUGGAAAGUCCACUUUCUACUUCGGUUUUUACCAAAAACCGAAGUUAAAAGUGCUUUAUAAGUCCCUUCCCUAGACCCGAACGGUCAUCUUCUCAAAUCCUCUCUACCCUCUGUGCAAAAAGAAACCCCCAAAACCUCCAUUAACCACCGUGAGCCAACACCCAUUUUGAUUCUCCAAGCCUUUUUUUUUUGUUUUUUCUUUAUUUCUUGCAAUAUUUCUACCCUAUAAACCGAAAUAUAGUCCAAAAAUCUUUUUUUUUUGUUUUUUAGAGAAAAAAAGGCAUUUGGCCGGGGGUUUUUUCUCCAUUUGAAAGUGGUGUUUCUUGCCGGAUUUUGACCGGAUUUUUGACAUUGCAAGGGGAUUUUGAGCUUCAAAACAGGGUCGUUGAUUGAGUGGUGAACUUUGUUGUUCAUUUCGGGUGCAUUGAAGAUUAAUAUUGAAGAUGACAAUUUCUGAAGGGGAGAACACACCAAAUAGGCGAGGCCCAACAAAGAAGAACAAUAUCAAUAAUAAAAAAGCUAAGGGAAUAAAGAGAAAUAUUCAGUUUAAUGAUAAAGGUCAACCUAUAGGGAAAGCAUAUAGUGAGAUGCAAUCGUACCUUGGAGUUAAAACUAGGAGAACGGUCUCUCUCAAUUAUAAGGAUUGGAGACAAGUCCCACAAGAAUUGAAGAAUAGAAUAUGGGAGGAUGUAUAUGUAAGAAAAUAUUUUAUGAAUAUUUUAAUUACUUUAAUAUAUUGAUCAUUUUCAUGAAUUACU
Long non-coding RNA from Humulus lupulus (European hop), 792 nucleotides. RefSeq lists it as uncharacterized. The transcript is spliced from 3 exons. The record is from RefSeq and is a predicted model, not a curated record. NCBI's taxonomy places the organism in Eukaryota, Viridiplantae, Streptophyta, Magnoliopsida, Rosales, Cannabaceae.